Molecule: ribosomal RNA, 253 nt
Filed under: uncultured bacterium
Lineage: Bacteria
Description: partial 16S ribosomal RNA
Rfam family: Bacterial small subunit ribosomal RNA
Source: RNAcentral
UACGUAGGGGGCAAGCGUUUUCCGGAUUUACUGGGUGUAAAGGGCGCGCAGGUGGGCUUGAUAGUUAGAGGUGAAAUCCUGUGGCUUAACUGCAGAACUGCCUUUAAUACUUCAAGUCUUGAGUGCGGAAGAGAGAGACGGAAUUCCAGGUGUAGUGGUGAAAUACGUAGAUAUCUGGAAGAACACCAGUUGCGAAGGCGGUCUCUUGGUCCGUAACUGACACUUAGGCGCGAAAGCGUGGGGAGCAAACAGG